GAUACACGUGUGAUUCCUCGUCAAAAGGAGGCUAUCGAGGAGAGGAGGACUGUCUUCCGUUUGCCUACUUAGAGAGGAAGGGUUUUUUCCCCAAACCAGAAAAGGCCUUAAGAGUCAGUCAGGAAGGCAACAGAAAUCUUUGAAAGUAUAAAAACAUUCUCUCCUCUCCUCUCCUCUCCUCUCCUCUCCUCUCAUCUCCUCCUCUUUUCUCCUCCUCUCCUCUCCUCUCCUCCUCUCCUCUCCUCCUCUCCUCUCCUCUCCUCCUCUCAUCUCCUCCUCUCAUCUCCUCCUCUCAUCUCCUCCUCUCCUCUCCUCUCCUCUCCUCCUCUCUUCUCCUCCUCUCCUCUCCUCCUCUCAUCUCCUCCUCUCAUCUCCUCCUCUCAUCUCCUCUCCUCUCCUCCUCUCAUCUCCUCCUCUCAUCUCCUCCUCUCUUCUCCUCCUCUCAUCUCCUCCUCUCCUCUCCUCCUCUCCUCUCCUCAUUCAUCCCUCCUUCCACUGAAACAGCAUUCUGUAGUUUCAGGAAAAGAGGAAGUGACAAGGCAACUUGUUCUGGGUGAAAGGUCACGAAGUGGCUUAGACCAGACUAGUAGAUUAUGAUAGAUGGAGAUGAGUUGAACUCAACAGAGAAACCAGUAGAUGAUAGAUAUGAACAGGUGUAGAUAUGAACAGGUGUAGAUAUGAACAGGUGUAGAUAUGAACAGGUGUAUACAGGUGUAGAUAUGAACAGGUGUAUACAGGUGUAGAUAUGAACAGGUGUAUACAGGUGUAGAUAUGAACAGGUGUAGAUAUGAACAGGUGUAGAUAUGAACAGGUGUAUACAGGUGUAGAUAUGAACAGGUGUAGAUAUGAACAGGUGUAUACAGGUAUAGAUAUGAACAGGUGUAGAUAUGAACAGGUGUAUACAGGUGUAGAUAUGAACAGGUGUAGAUAUGAACAGGUGUAGAUAUGAACAGGUGUAGAUAUGAACAGAUGUAUACAGGUGUAGAUAUGAACAGGUGUAGAUAUGAACAGGUGUAUACAGGUGUAGAUAUGAACAGGUGUAGAUAUGAACAGGUGUAUACAGGUGUAGAUAUGAACAGGUGUAGAUAUGAACAGGUGUAGAGAUGAACAGGUGUAGAUAUGAACAGGUGUAUACAGGUGUAGAUAUGAACAGGAGUCGAUAUGAACAGGUGUAGAUAUGAACAGGUGUAGAUAGAAACAGGUGCCUCUACAGGUGUGUGUAGGUUGUGUCUACAGGUGUCUCUACAGGUGUGUGUAGGUUGUGUCUACAGGUGCCUCUACAGGUGUGUGUAGGUUGUGUCUACAGGUGCCUCUACAGGUGUGUGUAGGUUGUGUCUACAGGUGUCUCUACAGGUGUGUGUAGGUUGUGUCUACAGGUGUCUCUACAGGUGUGUGUAGGUUGUGUCUACAGGUGUCUCUACAGGUGUGUGUAGGUUGUGUCUACAAGUGUGUCUGCAGGUGUCCCAGGUCAUGCUGGAGGUACAGGUACAGACAGGAAGGGUCACCAGGUCAGAGGGUAGAGGUCACUCCAACCUGAUUAUUUUCCCCUCUCUCUCUCUCUCUCUCUCUCUCUUUGUGUUGAGGUGAUCACCGACUGGUAGACAGUUCUGUGUUGAGGUGAUCACCGACUGGUAGACAGUUCUGUGUUGAGGUGAUCACCGACUGGUAGGCAGUUCUGUGUUGAGGUGAUCACCGACUGGUAGACAGUUCUGUGUUGAGGUGAUCACCGGCUGGUAGACAGUUCUGUGUUGAGGUGAUCACCGGCUGGUAGACAGUUCUGUGUUGAGGUGAUCACCGACUGGUAGACAGUUCUGUGUUGAGGUGAUCACCGACUGGUAGACAGUUCUGUGUUGAGGUGAUCACCGACUGGUAGACAGUUCUGUGUUGAGGUGAUCACCGACUGGUAGGCAGUUCUGUGUUGAGGUGAUCACCGACUGGUAGACAGUUCUGUGUUGAGGUGAUCACCGGCUGGUAGACAGUUCUGUGUUGAGGUGAUCACCGACUGGUAGACAGUUCUGUGUUGAGGUGAUCACCGACUGGUAGACAGUUCUGUGUUGAGGUGAUCACCGGCUGGUAGACAGUUCUGUGUUGAGGUGAUCACCGACUGGUAGACAGUUCUGUGUUGAGGUGAUCACCGGCUGGUAGACAGUUCUGUGUUGAGGUGAUCACCGACUGGUAGACAGUUCUGUGUUGAGGUGAUCACCGGCUGGUAGACAGUUCUGUGUUGAGGUGAUCACCGACUGGUAGACAGUUCUGUGUUGAGGUGAUCACCGGCUGGUAGACAGUUCUGUGUUGAGGUGAUCACCGACUGGUAGACAGUUCUGUGUUGAGGUGAUCACCGGCUGGUAGACAGUUCUGUGUUGAGGUGAUCACCGACUGGUAGACAGUUCUGUGUUGAGGUGAUCACCGACUGGUAGGCAGUUCUGUGUUGAGGUGAUCACCGACUGGUAGACAGUUCUGUGUUGAGGUGAUCACCGACUGGUAGACAGUUCUGUGUUGAGGUGAUCACCGACUGGUAGGCAGUUCUGUGUUGAGGUGAUCACCGACUGGUAGGCAGUUCUGUGUUGAGGUGAUCACCGACUGGUAGACAGUUCUGUGUUGAGGUGAUCACCGACUGGUAGACAGUUCUGUGUUGAGGUGAUCACCGACUGGUAGGCAGUUCUGUGUUGAGGUGAUCACCGACUGGUAGGCAGUUCUGUGUUGAGGUGAUCACCGACUGGUAGACAGUUCUGUGUUGAGGUGAUCACCGACUGGUAGACAGUUCUG
Molecule: long non-coding RNA, 2766 nt
Organism: Oncorhynchus keta (chum salmon)
Lineage: Eukaryota; Metazoa; Chordata; Actinopteri; Salmoniformes; Salmonidae
Exons: 13
Source: RefSeq, a predicted model, not a curated record